GUAAACUGUCUUAGACCUUGAUUUAUCUUUGUGUAAUUAGUUUAACCACAAGGGGAUUUUGAACUUUAGUUCCUACCCUUGUUGGGUAAGGGCCAUUUUGGGGUGAACACACACUGAAGCAGAUGCAACAUUUUGAGCUCAACAAUGGCUGACAAAGUUCUGAUCACAUCUGUGGAUGUUGGUAACAGGGCACGACAAAAGGAAGGGACACAGUGCCAGUGUUCUGGGCCCUGGAGGGCAUUUACUAGCAAAAAGCUGAAGAUACUAAAUUGAACUGAUGAAUAAAACAUGGGCAGGGACCAGCAUCGCACUCUUCAGUCUUCCACUCUCUGCUGCCCUGAAGCUGCUUACUUAAGGGCCCUUUUAGCUCCCACUGCAGAGGCCGGACAGGGGGCAGGUGUGCUUCACUGUUGUCUGUGUCUGAGGACUUUUUUGAUUCUACAAAAGUACAAAUAUUUGGGUAUGGCAGUUGCACAAGCACUGUCAAUGCGACGUAGGGGACCAGUGUUCGAUCCACGGACAUGAACACAGACAAAACAUAUUUGACAUUAGGAUUUGGCUAUUCAACUGGAAUUUUGAAAUAAACCAUGGAGUGAUUCGAGCCAUUGUUUUCAUUGUAGGUACUGUACAGUAUAGCUGGACUAAAACCUGUCUGAAUGACUACUGCCCUACAGCACUGACCUCCAUCAUCAUGAACUGCUUUGAGCGGCUGGUCACAUCUGCUCCACCCUUCCUGACACCUUGGACCCCUUUCAAUUUGUAUAUUGCCUCAAUAGAUCUACGGACGAUGCCAUUGCCCUGACGACACACAACGCCCUCUCCCAUCUGGAAAAAGGCAGCACAUACGUGAGGAUGUUGUUUGUGGAAUACAGCUCUACAUUCAACACUACUGUGCCCACCAAGCCUGUUCCUAAACUCAGGACCCUGGGACUUAACACCUCCCUUUGCAAUUGGAUCCAGACCCCAGGUGAGGACAUGAGGUAUUGGACCACGCCUCAGGAGUACCAGGCUUGAAAGACUCAUAGCUGUCCCUGUCCAAUGUCCUCCUGAUUGUCAUGCAGAUCAUGACAAUACCAGAUGAUUAAAGCAGCCACUCUGCUGACCAUUCCUCCCCCCUGAUUGUCCCUGUCUUUGUCCAUCUGGUCAUGCUUCUGACUUGGAUUAUGUUUUAUGGACUCUGGACAUAGCCCAC
This is a long non-coding RNA of Esox lucius (northern pike), 1192 nucleotides long. The record is from Ensembl. NCBI's taxonomy places the organism in Eukaryota, Metazoa, Chordata, Actinopteri, Esociformes, Esocidae.